Molecule: transfer RNA, 38 nt
Filed under: Abudefduf sparoides (false-eye sergeant)
Lineage: Eukaryota; Metazoa; Chordata; Actinopteri; Pomacentridae
Description: partial tRNA-Thr
Source: RNAcentral
GCAAUAGUAGCUCAGAGCCAGAGCGCCGGUCUUGUAAA